UACGUAGGGGGCAAGCGUUGUCCGGAAUUACUGGGUGUAAAGGGAGUGUAGGCGGGUACUUAAGUCAGAUGUGAAAUCUAAGAGCUCAACUCUUAGUCUGCAUUUGAAACUGGGUAUCUUGAGUACAGGAGAGGAAAGUGGAAUUCCACGUGUAGCGGUGAAAUGCGUAGAGAUGUGGAGGAACACCAGUGGCGAAGGCGACUUUCUGGACUGUAACUGACGCUGAGGCUCGAAAGUGUGGGGAGCAAACAGG
Molecule: ribosomal RNA, 253 nt
Filed under: uncultured bacterium
Lineage: Bacteria
Description: partial 16S ribosomal RNA
Rfam family: Bacterial small subunit ribosomal RNA
Source: RNAcentral